UGCCCGGUAGCUAAAUGCGGAAGAGAUAAGUGCUGAAAGCAUCUAAGCACGAAACUUGCCCCGAGAUGAGUUCUCCCUGAGACUUUAAGUCUCCUGAAGGAACGUUAAAGACGAUGACGUUGAUAGGCCGGGUGUGUAAGCGCAGCGAUGCGUUGAGCUAACCGGUACUAAUGAACCGUGAGGCUUAACCUUAC
RNAcentral lists this ribosomal RNA (194 nucleotides) under Klebsiella pneumoniae subsp. pneumoniae Ecl8. RNAcentral describes it as "23S ribosomal RNA". It matches the Rfam family "Bacterial large subunit ribosomal RNA", at positions 2739 to 2925 of the family's 2925-position model. The record is from RNAcentral. Lineage: Bacteria; Pseudomonadati; Pseudomonadota; Gammaproteobacteria; Enterobacterales; Enterobacteriaceae.